RNAcentral lists this ribosomal RNA (468 nucleotides) under uncultured bacterium. RNAcentral's name for it is "partial 16S ribosomal RNA". It matches the Rfam family "Bacterial small subunit ribosomal RNA", at positions 28 to 507 of the family's 1533-position model. The record is from RNAcentral.
GACGAACGCUGGCGGCGUGCUUAACACAUGCAAGUCGAACGGAAAGGCCCUGCUUUUGUGGGGUGCUCGAGUGGCGAACGGGUGAGUAACACGUGAGUAACCUGCCCUUGACUUUGGGAUAACUUCAGGAAACUGGGGCUAAUACCGGAUAGGUGCUCCUGCUGCAUGGUGGGGGUUGGAAAGUUUCGGCGGUUGGGGGUGGACUCGCGGCUUAUCAGCUUGUUGGUGGGGUAGUGGCUUACCAAGGCUUUGACGGGUAGCCGGGCUGAAAGGGUGACCGGCCACAUUGGUAACUGGAAUCAGCCCAAAGCUCUAGGGGAGGCAGCAGUGGGGAAUAUUGCACAAUGGGCGGAAGCCUGAUGCAGCAACGCCGCGUGCGGGAUGACGGCCUUCGGGUUGUAAACCGCUUUCGCCUGUGACGAAGCGUGAGUGACGGUAAUGGGUAAAGAAGCACCGGCUAACUACGUG